CACCAGAUCAGCUACUAUUGGGUCAGAAUCACCUUGUGAGGCUCUGUGUGCAGGGGGGAGGAAGGGCUGGGCUAGCCCUGCAGACACAUGAUCUGCAGGCCCACGCAGGAAGGCACAUGUAAGGCCAGCAGCCAACAUGGCUGAACCCACGAAGAGCACACGGCAGGGAAAGCCAUGUGGCUGGGCUGUCAAUCAAUAAGGUCUGCCUGGUGGCCUGCCCAUAACGUGCCCCCUGGAGCCUCUAAUUGGCUGUGGCAGCCCUCACUUUGGCUAAGGGGACACUGAGUGGCAGCGAGACAAAAGUCCCGCCUAGGGUAAUGCUCUGUAGGAAGACAAACUGAGGGACAAAAAAAGAAAGAAAAAAAAAAGAAAACAAGAUGAAAAGAAGAUAUAAGGAAAAAGCAAGUAAAAGAAAAUAAGGGAGGAAAGAGGAAAGAAGGAAGGUAAUAUGGUGAACACAUGGUACAGGAACCUUGAAGAACAAGAUUAAGUUUCCACUUCUAUCAUGCUUUACGUGUCAGCACAGCAAAUCUUAUUGGCCUAAUCCUCCCACCAUUAAGUUUUUAACAUCCAGGGGUCUGUGAGCAGCAUAUCUGAGUGUUAAUGGUGUCUAAUAAAAACAUUAAAUACCUGGA
Molecule: long non-coding RNA, 635 nt
Organism: Pseudopipra pipra
Lineage: Eukaryota; Metazoa; Chordata; Aves; Passeriformes; Pipridae
Exons: 2
Source: RefSeq, a predicted model, not a curated record